AACAGGGAUUGCCCUAGUAACGGCGAGUGAAGCGGCAACAGCUCAAAUUUGAAAUCUGGCUCUUUUAGAGUCCGAGUUGUAAUUUGCAGAGGGCGCUUUGGCUUUGGCAGCGGUCCAAGUUCCUUGGAACAGGACGUCACAGAGGGUGAGAAUCCCGUACGUGGUCGCUGGCUAUUGCCGUGUAAAGCCCCUUCGACGAGUCGAGUUGUUUGGGAAUGCAGCUCUAAAUGGGAGGUACAUUUCUUCUAAAGCUAAAUAUUGGCCAGAGACCGAUAGCGCACAAGUAGAGUGAUCGAAAGAUGAAAAGCACUUUGGAAAGAGAGUCAAACAGCACGUGAAAUUGUUGAAAGGGAAGCGCUUGCAGCCAGACUUGCUUACAGUUGCUCAUCCGGGUUUUUACCCGGUGCACUCUUCUGUAGGCAGGCCAGCAUCAGUUUGGGCGGUAGGAUAAAGGUCUCUGUCACGUACCUCCUUUCGGGGAGGCCUUAUAGGGGAGACGACAUACUACCAGCCUGGACUGAGGUCCGCGCAUCUGCUAGGAUGCUGGCGUAAUGGCUGUAAGCGGCCCGUCUUGAAACACGGACCAAGGAGUCUAACAUCUAUGCGAGUGUUUGGGUGUCAAGCCCGAGCGCGUAAUGAAAGUGAACGGAGGUGGGAACCCGCAAGGGUGCACCAUCGACCGAUCCUGAUGUCUUCGGAAGGAUUUGAGUAAGAGCAUGGCUGUUGGGACCCGAAAGAUGGUGAACUAUGCUUGAAUAGGGUGAAGCCAGAGGAAACUCUGGUGGAGGCUCGCAGCGGUUCUGACGUGCAAAUCGAUCGUCAAAUUUGGGCAUAGGGGCGAAAGACUAAUCGACCAGAGAAUCUUAC
Molecule: ribosomal RNA, 867 nt
Filed under: Alternaria sp.
Lineage: Eukaryota; Fungi; Ascomycota; Dothideomycetes; Pleosporales; Pleosporaceae
Description: partial large subunit ribosomal RNA
Rfam family: Eukaryotic large subunit ribosomal RNA
Source: RNAcentral